AGAGCUCGUAGGCGGUUUGUCGCGUCUGCUGUGAAAGCCCGGGGCUAACCCGGGUCUGCAGUGGGUACGGGCAGACUAGAGUGCAGUAGGGGAGACUGGAAUUCCUGGUGUAGCGGUGAAAUGCGCAGAUAUCAGGAGGAACACCGAUGGCGAAGGCAGGUCUCUGGGCUGUUACUGACGCUGAGGAGCGAAAGCAUGGGGAGCGAACAGGAUUAGAUACCCUGGUAGUCCAUGCCGUAAACGUUGGGCACUAGGUGUGGGGGACAUUCCACGUUUUCCGCGCCGUAGCUAACGCAUUAAGUGCCCCGCCUGGGGAGUACGGCCGCAAGGCUAAAACUCAAAGGAAUUGACGGGGGCCCGCACAAGCGGCGGAGCAUGCGGAUUAAUUCGAUGCAACGCGAAGAACCUUACCAAGGCUUGACAUUCACCGGACCGCCCCAGAGAUGGGGUUUCCCUUCGGGGCUGGUGGACAGGUGGUGCAUGGUUGUCGUCAGCUCGUGUCGUGAGAUGUUGGGUUAAGUCCCGCAACGAGCGCAACCCUCGUUCUAUGUUGCCAGCACGUGAUGGUGGGGACUCAUAGGAGACUGCCGGGGUCAACUCGGAGGAAGGUGGGGAUGACGUCAAAUCAUCAUGCCCCUUAUGUCUUGGGCUUCACGCAUGCUACAAUGGCCGGUACAAAGGGUUGCGAUACUGUGAGGUGAAGCUAAUCCCAAAAAGCCGGUCUCAGUUCGGAUUGAGGUCUGC
Molecule: ribosomal RNA, 744 nt
Filed under: Kocuria sp. KD139
Lineage: Bacteria; Bacillati; Actinomycetota; Actinomycetes; Micrococcales; Micrococcaceae
Description: bacterial SSU rRNA
Rfam family: Bacterial small subunit ribosomal RNA
Source: RNAcentral